CUUUAUUGGAGAGUUUGAUCCUGGCUCAGGACGAACGCUGGCGGCAUGCCUAAUACAUGCAAGUCGAGCGGACUUGAAGAGAAGCUUGCUUCUCGGAUAGUUAGCGGCGGACGGGUGAGUAACACGUAGGCAACCUGCCCUCAAGUUUGGGACAACUACCGGAAACGGUAGCUAAUACCGAAUAGUUGUUUUCUUCUCCUGAAGAGAACUGGAAAGACGGAGUAAUCUGUCACUUGGGGAUGGGCCUGCGGCGCAUUAGCUAGUUGGUGGGGUAACGGCUCACCAAGGCGACGAUGCGUAGCCGACCUGAGAGGGUGAUCGGCCACACUGGGACUGAG
Molecule: ribosomal RNA, 338 nt
Filed under: Paenibacillus sp. 276b
Lineage: Bacteria; Bacillati; Bacillota; Bacilli; Caryophanales; Paenibacillaceae
Description: bacterial SSU rRNA
Rfam family: Bacterial small subunit ribosomal RNA
Source: RNAcentral